AACGAACGCUGGCGGCAUGCCUAACACAUGCAAGUCGAACGAGACCUUCGGGUCUAGUGGCGCACGGGUGCGUAACGCGUGGGAAUCUGCCCCUUGGUUCGGAAUAACAGUUAGAAAUGACUGCUAAUACCCGGAUGAUGACCGAAAGUCCAAAGAUUUAUCGCCGAGGGAUGAGCCCGCGUAGGAUUAGCUAGUUGGUGAGGUAAAGGCUCACCAAGGCGACGAUCCUUAGCUGGUCUGAGAGGAUGAUCAGCCACACUGGGACUGAGACACGGCCCAGACUCCUACGGGAGGCAGCAGUGGGGAAUAUUGGGACAAUGGGCGAAAGCCUGAUCCAGCAAUGCCGCGUGAGUGAUGAA
This 359-nucleotide ribosomal RNA is filed under the name uncultured bacterium. RNAcentral describes it as "bacterial SSU rRNA". It matches the Rfam family "Bacterial small subunit ribosomal RNA", at positions 29 to 412 of the family's 1533-position model. The record is from RNAcentral.